GGGUCCGUAGCGUAGUCAGGAUAUCGCAGCGGUCUUCGGAACCGCAGAUCGAGGGAUCGAAGCCCUCCGGAUCCG
This 75-nucleotide transfer RNA is filed under the name Nitrososphaeraceae archaeon. It matches the Rfam family "tRNA". Rfam says of the family: Transfer RNA (tRNA) molecules are approximately 80 nucleotides in length. Their secondary structure includes four short double-helical elements and three loops (D, anti-codon, and T loops). Further hydrogen bonds mediate the characteristic L-shaped molecular structure. tRNAs have two regions of fundamental functional importance: the anti-codon, which is responsible for specific mRNA codon recognition, and the 3' end, to which the tRNAs corresponding amino acid is attached (by aminoacyl-tRNA synthetases). tRNAs cope with the degeneracy of the genetic code in two manners: having more than one tRNA (with a specific anti-codon) for a particular amino acid; and 'wobble' base-pairing, i.e. permitting non-standard base-pairing at the 3rd anti-codon position. RNAcentral also lists the same sequence under 2 other names. The record is from Rfam by way of RNAcentral. Lineage: Archaea; Thermoproteati; Nitrososphaerota; Nitrososphaeria; Nitrososphaerales; Nitrososphaeraceae.